Molecule: RNA transcript, 863 nt
Organism: Belonocnema kinseyi
Lineage: Eukaryota; Metazoa; Arthropoda; Insecta; Hymenoptera; Cynipidae
Exons: 5
Source: RefSeq, a predicted model, not a curated record
GGACAGAUCGUGCAUUAAAUCCAUCGUUGAGAGUACGACCGCAAACGAAAUGAAUGACGAAUCAGAAAAUUCUAAUGAAGAAAAAGACGAAGAAAGCGAAGAUGGCAGUCCAAAAAUUGUCAAUGUUGAGUGAAGUGGCGAUCUUAGCGAUGAAUAUGCAGAAAGUACUCCAUAUCAAAAUAAAAGGUCUGCGCUUUCUAAGAAACGAAAGAGAAAUUCGUUUGAAACUUCCGAACAGCGUUGUAAAAAUUAUUUUUCGGGCAAAAACAGUUCGGAAGCUGAACCACCGAAGAGACCAUCAAGGGAAGUUCAAACUGGACAAUCUGAAGAAUCCAAUGGCUACUUUGAGAUGCUGAAAUCUUACUUUCAAGAGACACUUAAAAACAUGGAAACUGGAAUACAAAAUAGAAUUUUGAAGGAGAUAAAAGCUUUAAAAAAAAGCAUCCUUCAUGACUUCAAAAAGCGAAUGGACUUGCUGGCACAAUCGCUAAUCAACAGUGACAUUGAGGCAACUUUGAGACAAAUUGCAGGAGAGAAAGGGAAGUUAGAAACAUCUUUCCCAAUUAAGGAUCUUGAAACAUUUACAGGUUUCGAAGAAAUCAUAAAAAAUGAUUAAGUGAAAGAGAAAGCAUUUAAAAAUUUGAUGAUUUAUCUGAUGCAAGGAAGUAAAUCUAUAAAAGAGGGAACCUAUAAUUGUCUUCCUCAUUUGAUUAGCAAAGAAUUCCAAGUCGAAUUUACGGUCAGAAGACGAAAGGUGAAGGGGAUGGAAAAAAAAAAGUUCAGUCUCACACAAACUUGCCAACGCAUGUCAGGUAAUGCCGAUUUUCAACAAUUUAAAUUUAUCACCAAAUAUUUCAGGGAAU